Molecule: ribosomal RNA, 1536 nt
Filed under: Escherichia coli
Lineage: Bacteria; Pseudomonadati; Pseudomonadota; Gammaproteobacteria; Enterobacterales; Enterobacteriaceae
Description: partial 23S ribosomal RNA
Rfam family: Bacterial large subunit ribosomal RNA
Source: RNAcentral
UGUAUAAUGGGUCAGCGACUUAUAUUCUGUAGCAAGGUUAACCGAAUAGGGGAGCCGAAGGGAAACCGAGUCUUAACUGGGCGUUAAGUUGCAGGGUAUAGACCCGAAACCCGGUGAUCUAGCCAUGGGCAGGUUGAAGGUUGGGUAACACUAACUGGAGGACCGAACCGACUAAUGUUGAAAAAUUAGCGGAUGACUUGUGGCUGGGGGUGAAAGGCCAAUCAAACCGGGAGAUAGCUGGUUCUCCCCGAAAGCUAUUUAGGUAGCGCCUCGUGAAUUCAUCUCCGGGGGUAGAGCACUGUUUCGGCAAGGGGGUCAUCCCGACUUACCAACCCGAUGCAAACUGCGAAUACCGGAGAAUGUUAUCACGGGAGACACACGGCGGGUGCUAACGUCCGUCGUGAAGAGGGAAACAACCCAGACCGCCAGCUAAGGUCCCAAAGUCAUGGUUAAGUGGGAAACGAUGUGGGAAGGCCCAGACAGCCAGGAUGUUGGCUUAGAAGCAGCCAUCAUUUAAAGAAAGCGUAAUAGCUCACUGGUCGAGUCGGCCUGCGCGGAAGAUGUAACGGGGCUAAACCAUGCACCGAAGCUGCGGCAGCGACACUAUGUGUUGUUGGGUAGGGGAGCGUUCUGUAAGCCUGUGAAGGUGGCCUGUGAGGGUUGCUGGAGGUAUCAGAAGUGCGAAUGCUGACAUAAGUAACGAUAAAGCGGGUGAAAAGCCCGCUCGCCGGAAGACCAAGGGUUCCUGUCCAACGUUAAUCGGGGCAGGGUGAGUCGACCCCUAAGGCGAGGCCGAAAGGCGUAGUCGAUGGGAAACAGGUUAAUAUUCCUGUACUUGGUGUUACUGCGAAGGGGGGACGGAGAAGGCUAUGUUGGCCGGGCGACGGUUGUCCCGGUUUAAGCGUGUAGGCUGGUUUUCCAGGCAAAUCCGGAAAACCAAGGCUGAGGCGUGAUGACGAGGCACUACGGUGCUGAAGCGACAAAUGCCCUGCUUCCAGGAAAAGCCUCUAAGCAUCAGGUAACAUCAAAUCGUACCCCAAACCGACACAGGUGGUCAGGUAGAGAAUACCAAGGCGCUUGAGAGAACUCGGGUGAAGGAACUAGGCAAAAUGGUGCCGUAACUUCGGGAGAAGGCACGCUGAUAUGUAGGUGAAGCGACUUGCUCGUGGAGCUGAAAUCAGUCGAAGAUACCAGCUGGCUGCAACUGUUUAUUAAAAACACAGCACUGUGCAAACACGAAAGUGGACGUAUACGGUGUGACGCCUGCCCGGUGCCGGAAGGUUAAUUGAUGGGGUUAGCGGCAACGCGAAGCUCUUGAUCGAAGCCCCGGUAAACGGCGGCCGUAACUAUAACGGUCCUAAGGUAGCGAAAUUCCUUGUCGGGUAAGUUCCGACCUGCACGAAUGGCGUAAUGAUGGCCAGGCUGUCUCCACCCGAGACUCAGUGAAAUUGAACUCGCUGUGAAGAUGCAGUGUACCCGCGGCAAGACGGAAAGACCCCGUGAACCUUUACUAUAGCUUGACACUGAACAUUGAGC